AGGGUUUGAUCAUGGCUCAGAACGAACGCUGGCGGCGUGGAUAAGACAUGCAAGUCGAACGGAAAUUGAGCAUAGCUUGCUAAGCUCAAUUUUAGUGGCGGACGGGUUAGUAACACGUGAGAUACCUACCCUUUAGACAGGAAUAGCCCAUGGAAACGUGGAUUAAUGCCUGAUAGUCUCUACGGAGUAAAGGAUGCCUUCGGGUGUCGCUGAAGGAUGGGCUCGCGGCCUAUCAGUUUGUUGGUGAGGUAAAAGCUCACCAAGACUACGACGGGUAGCUGGUCUGAGAGGACGAUCAGCAACACUGGAACUGAGACACGGUCCAGACACCUACGGGUGGCAGCAGUCGAGAAUCAUUCACAAUGGAGGAAACUCUGAUGGUGCAACGCCGCGUGGAGGAUGACGGCCCUAGGGUUGUAAACUCCUGUCAUUGGGGAGUAAGGCUUAUUCGUUAAUAGCGUGUAAGUUUGAUAGUACCCAAAGAGGAAGGGACGGCUAACUUCGUGCCAGCAGCCGCGGUAAUACGAAGGUCCCAAGCGUUGUUCGGAAUAACUGGGCGUAAAGCGUGUGUAGGCUGCGCGGAAAGUCAAAUGUGAAAGCCAGGGGCUCAACCUCUGAACUGCAUUCGAUACUCCCGUGCUAGAGUAAU
This 649-nucleotide ribosomal RNA is filed under the name uncultured bacterium. Its description in RNAcentral is "bacterial SSU rRNA". It matches the Rfam family "Bacterial small subunit ribosomal RNA", at positions 8 to 650 of the family's 1533-position model. The record is from RNAcentral.